Molecule: ribosomal RNA, 484 nt
Filed under: uncultured bacterium
Lineage: Bacteria
Description: partial 16S ribosomal RNA
Rfam family: Bacterial small subunit ribosomal RNA
Source: RNAcentral
AUUGAACGCUGGCGGAAUGCUUUACACAUGCAAGUCGAACGGCAGCACGGGGGCAACCCUGGUGGCGCGUGGCGAACGGGUGAGUAAUACAUCGGAACGUGCCCGGUCGUGGGGGAUAACGUAGCGAGAGAUACGCUAAUACCGCAUACGAUCUGAGGAUGAAAGCGGGGGACCUUCGGGCCGCGCGCGAUCGGAGCGGCCGAUGUCAGAUUAGGUAGUUGGUGGGGUAAAGACCUACCAAGCCGACGAUCUGUAGCUGGUCUGAGAGGACGACCAGCCACACUGGGACUGAGACACGGCCCAGACUCCUACGGGAGGCAGCAGUGGGGAAUUUUGGACAAUGGGGGCAAGCCUGAUCCAGCCAGUCCGCGUGCAGGACGAAGGCCUUCGGGUUGUAAACUGCUUUUGUAUGGAACGAAAAGGCUCUGGCUAAUACCUGGGGCUCAUGACGGUACCGUAAGAAUAAGCACCGGCUAACUACGUG